AAACAGGGCUAGAUCUGAGCCCACAGGAAUGCUCUCCCCCUCCUCCUCCUCUGUUUGUGUGUGUGUUUGUGUGUGUGUGCCAAUUUCUGAUUAAUUAUGAUCCCUGACAGACCUUAUUAGGGUAGUUUGACCUGGGCUAAGACCUCUCAUCUGUCUUUGCUUUUUGCAGAAUUGGGGCAUAAUCACCUCCUGUGGGCAGUGAGCUUCACUUCUGACAAAUCAUUAACUUGCUCUCAGCUCCAGGAGCUUCCCUAAGUGUCACAGCCAGAAGGCCAAAGAGCAUGGCAUGGAUGUGUACAUCCCCUCCAGGGGCUGAAGCAGCUGCUGCACAGUAUCUGGUCUCUCCAUCACCUGCCAGACCUGCACCAGCUGUUUUACAGCUGUGGGGGUGCUCCCACCCCCUGUCCUUCAUACAUUAUUGACAGACAGGAGCCAUAGCCUCUUCUCCAUUACUAGUCCCAGACAAGUCCUACAACCUUCUCCCAAAGAUGUUUUUCCUCUGUUGUUCCACAGUGUUCUACAGUGAGCAAGACCCUGACAUUUCAUGAUUCAGGCAAUAAAUGACACAUAGUUAAAAAAUAUACGUGACCUGUCUAUCAUCUGCUGUUAGCCCAUUCCUUGCAAGGAGCGAGUGGCAGCUCUCCCCAACAGGUCUCAUACCUUGUCUCCUAGGUGCCUGCCUUCUUCAAUCCUCACCUCAUUUUAGAGCUGCUAAAACAUCAGUGGGUUUGUCUGAGCCAAAACCCCACACAAGACUAAAUUUUUGUUCCUCAGCUCCUUUGAUGCUUCCUGCUGCAGCCGUUCACAUGCAAGGUGCAAGUCAAAGGAUGGAGCAAGAUGGACCCUCUGCACAGUCUGGUACCCCAUGGGCAGAAAAUGAGCUUCCCUGUAUUGCUCCCUUGGACUUGUGGAAUUUUUUCCUUGAGAAGUUUUGCCAGAAGGAGAAGGUGGCCUGUCCCAUCCCAUGGUGUGGCUCUAGGAAGGAAGUGCCACUCUCACCUCAUAUGCAGCACAGGGCUGCUGAAAAACGUCCCUGCUGCGCUGGAGAAGUCCCUCAGGAACUGUGUUUAUGUGAUAACAUACUUUUGUUACAAUAUAUGUGCCCAGCUCCUCUUACAGAGUUCACUGUGGUUUUCUUUCUGCUGCUGUAUUCCAGCACCUUCAAACAAACUUCAAAAUCACUUCAGUGGCCCUGUAGUUGUCUCCAGGUUGUUUGCCAUCAUCUCUUGCAAGCUGGAAAUGAAAUCUUUUAUCUCAUGGAAGACAAGACACAGAUGAUGUGUGUGCCUGGAGGGGUGUGGGUUUAAGUGUGGGUCCUGUUUGGGAGCUUUAAACUCACGAGCUAUGCAAGAAAACCAGCCCUACAACUUCCCUCCCCUGGCUUCUCUCACUGGGCUUCACUGCCUUAGUGCUGAAAUAUCCUCCCAAAAGUAGACUGACAGCAACGGUGGGGAGGUGCUUCCAUGUCCAACCUGAUGCACUCGGUCUGGGCUAUGGAAGUGCCUGAAUUACACCCUGCAGCUGGGUUGUUAACAGCAGUCAUUAGAUAUGCACUAGCAUGUGAGAGCAAGUGGCUGUAUCCAGCUUUGGGAGAGAUUUUAAAUAGGCAGCUCUGGCAGUCCUCUCAGUUUCUCUCAACAUGAGGAUUUUCUGCUUUACUGGUUUAUUUUUGGAUAUGCAGGCUGCAGAAAAAAUAAUUUUGUUAAUAGAGACAUACAGUCUCGUUUGUGAAAAUAACUUCAUAAGUAUGGGAGAACAUGGUGCUGUUUUACUUAAAUCUGCACAUGUUUUGCUGACUUAGAAGUUGGUACUGCAUUUCAAAGGCUAACUCACUAAGCCUGAUUGGUAUCCUUUAUCUUUUGAUGUUUAAGAAAUUUUUCUUUCCAAAGUCUUCUUUUCUUUCAAGGGACUUCAAUGAAAAUUCUUCUUUUUCCCACCUUCAGAACUGCAUGUAACAUCCUUCAAUUCUCCCUGAUUUAUCUUCUGUAUUCUCUUGACUCAAGGCAGAUCAUAAAUUUAUGAUCUGGUAUUUUAUUUAUUUAUUUAUUUUUAAUUUCAGUCCUGCAUUUUCAGAGACAUUUAUUUCACCCUAAUGAAAAUAAUUUAUCUGCUGGGGUAGAUGCUUGUCCAGUAUACUGUGGUGUCCUACCAUGGCAAUAGGGACAAUAAAUACACCAACUGGAAGCA
This 2187-nucleotide long non-coding RNA is filed under the name Cyanistes caeruleus (blue tit). RNAcentral describes it as "lncRNA (ENSCCEG00000022623.1)". Lineage: Eukaryota; Metazoa; Chordata; Aves; Passeriformes; Paridae. The record is from RNAcentral.